UUUGAUCUGAGUUUUCUCUAAGUGGUUGUGUUUGUGCACUUCCUACCUGAGAUUACUUGGAAUCAAACCUUGCGGGGACCUUCAGGUGCCGUUUGAUUCCGUGAUCCCUCUAGCUUUGCUUGGUUGUUGUUCAAGACUUCUAAGCACCCUCAACAUGGUGGAUACACCGCUGGAGCUAAUGCAUAGGACGUUCGUGACACGCUAGGGUGGACUUGGGCCUUAGUGACGAUAAAAUGGAACUAGACUAGUUAAAACUUGUUAUGUACUCUUUGUUUCAGUUAUUUUAAGACAAUGUAACUCGUUUGUUUGAUUCAAUAAAAUAUAAUU
This 327-nucleotide long non-coding RNA is filed under the name Helianthus annuus (common sunflower). Its description in RNAcentral is "sRNA HanXRQr2_Chr02g0055661". Lineage: Eukaryota; Viridiplantae; Streptophyta; Magnoliopsida; Asterales; Asteraceae. The record is from RNAcentral.